RNAcentral lists this ribosomal RNA (1636 nucleotides) under human gut metagenome. RNAcentral describes it as "bacterial LSU rRNA". It matches the Rfam family "Bacterial large subunit ribosomal RNA", at positions 823 to 2483 of the family's 2925-position model. The record is from RNAcentral.
GAAAUUCCAAUCGAACCCGGAGAUAGCUGGUUCUCCCCGAAAUAGCUUUAGGGCUAGCGUCGCAGCGAGAGAGCCGUGAAGGUAGAGCACUGAAUAUGCGAUGGCCGCAUCCCGCGGUACUGAGCAUAAUCAAACUCCGAAUGUCACGGUGUCAUCUGCGGCAGUCAGACGGCGAGUGAUAAGGUCCGUCGUCAAGAGGGAAACAGCCCAGACCAUCAGCUAAGGUCCCAAAGUGCAUGCUAAGUGGAAAAGGAAGUGGAGACGUGCAGACAACUAGGAGGUUGGCUCAGAAGCAGCCAUCCUUCAAAGAGUGCGUAACAGCUCACUAGUCGAAUGACUCUGCGCCGAUAAUUUACCGGGGCUAAGCAUGACACCGAAGCUAUGGACAGGAAUGUGGUAGGGGAGCAUUGCAUGCAGCGGAGAAGCAUGACCGAAAGGGCAUGUGGAGCGCAUGGAAGAGAGAAUGCCGGCGUGAGUAGCGGCACGUGGGUGAGAAUCCCACGCACCGAUGGCCCAAGGUCUCCAGAGGAAGGCUCGUCCUCUCUGGGAUAGUCGGGACCUAAGGCGAGGCCGAAAGGCGUAGCCGAUGGACGACGGGUGGAUAUUCCCGUACCCGAUGUGUGGCGAUGGAGUGACGGAGAAGGCUCAGGCAACCAGCUGCUGGAAUAGCUGGGGCAAGCGAGAUACCUGCGCACCAGGGAAAUCCGGUGCGCAUAAGGGGAAGGCGCGAAGCAUACGGAAAGCUUCGGCAAGUACGGAAAAGCUGAGAGCAGGCUUCCAGGAAAAGCUUCUAGCACAACACACAUCGGCCCGUACCGAAAAUGGACACACAUGGGCAAGGAGAGAAUCCUGAGGUGAGCGAGAGAACUAUAGCUAAGGAACUCUGCAAAAUGACCCCGUAACCUAGGGAGAAGGGGUGCUCCAGAAAUGGAGCCGCAGUAAAACGGCCCAAGCGACUGUUUACCAAAAACACAGCUCUCUGCGAAGGCGCAAGCCGAAGUAUAGGGGGUGACGCCUGCCCGGUGCUGGAAGGUCAAGGGGAGCUGUCAGCGCAAGCGAAGCAGCGAGCCGAAGCCCCAGUAAACGGCGGCCGUAACUAUAACGGUCCUAAGGUAGCGAAAUUCCUUGUCGGGCAAGUUCCGACCCGCACGAAAGGCGUAACGAUUUGGGCGCUGUCUCAGCUGUAGACUCGGUGAAGUCUUAGUACCUGUGAAGAUGCAGGUUGCCCGCGACUAGACGGAAAGACCCCAUGGAGCUUCACUGCAGGUUGACAUUGGGCUUGGAUGCAUGAUGUACAGGAUAGGUGGGAGGCUGUGAGCCGUGCGCGCCAGCGUACGGGGAGCCGCUGUUGGGAUACCACCCUUCAUGCAUCUAGGUCCUAACCGGAGGCAACGGGCCACGGGACAGUGUCAGUCGGGCAGUUUGACUGGGGCGGUCGCCUCCCAAAGAGUAACGGAGGCGCCCAAAGAUACCCUCAGCAUGGAUGGAAACCAUGCAUAGAGUGCAAAGGCAUAAGGGUGUCUGACUGCGAGACAUACAGGUCGAGCAGGGACGAAAGUCGGGCUUAGUGAUCCGGCGGAUCCGAAUGGAAGGGCCGUCGCUCAACGGAUAAAAGCUACCCUGGGGAUAACAGGCU